Molecule: ribosomal RNA, 253 nt
Filed under: uncultured bacterium
Lineage: Bacteria
Description: partial 16S ribosomal RNA
Rfam family: Bacterial small subunit ribosomal RNA
Source: RNAcentral
UACAGAGGGGGCAAGCGUUGUUCGGAAUUACUGGGCGUAAAGGGCGCGUAGGCGGCCUGCUAAGUCGAACGUGAAAUCCCUGGGCUCAACCCAGGAACUGCGUCCGAUACUGGUUGGCUUGAAUCCGGGAGAGGGAUGUGGAAUUCCAGGUGUAGCGGUGAAAUGCGUAGAUAUCUGGAGGAACACCGGUGGCGAAGGCGACGUCCUGGACCGGUAUUGACGCUGAGGCGCGAAAGCCAGGGGAGCAAACGGG